AUACUAUAGUUUCUCUGCAGCUUGUAUAAGUCUUUUGCCUUUUACUAAAGACUUCUGUGGAGAUAAACACUCCACAGAAUAAUCCCUCUGCUUGGCUCUACUGCUUCCCCAAGA
Molecule: small nuclear RNA, 114 nt
Organism: Chiloscyllium plagiosum (whitespotted bambooshark)
Lineage: Eukaryota; Metazoa; Chordata; Chondrichthyes; Orectolobiformes; Hemiscylliidae
Product: U5 spliceosomal RNA
Source: RefSeq, a predicted model, not a curated record